AGUGAACGCUGGCGGUGGGCUUAACACAUGCAAGUCGAACGGAACCCCAGUUAUAGCUUGCUCUUACGGGUGGCGUGUUGUGGCUGGGUGACGAACACAUCGGUAUCUCCUUUUUCAUCUGGCUUAACGAAGGGGAACUUACGCUAAUACCGCAUCCGAUCUCCCGGUGACAGCCGGGAUUCUUUGGACCUUUCGCGAUUGCUUGAGUCGAUGUCGGUUUAGCUAGUUUGCGGGGUCAAGGUGCACCAGUGCGAGGACCCGUAGCUGCUCUGCGAGGAUGAUCAGCCACACGGGAACUGAGACACGGUCCAGACUCCGACGGGGGGCAGCAGUGGGGAAUAUUGGACAAUGGGCGCAAGCCUGAUCCAGCCAUACCGCGUAGGUGAAGAAGGCCUGCGGGUUGGAGAGCCCUUAUGUUGGGAAAGAAAAGCAGCAGGUUAAGACCCCGCGGUUCUGACGGUACCCAAAGAAUAAGCACCGGCUAACUUCGUG
RNAcentral lists this ribosomal RNA (492 nucleotides) under uncultured bacterium. Its description in RNAcentral is "partial 16S ribosomal RNA". It matches the Rfam family "Bacterial small subunit ribosomal RNA", at positions 29 to 507 of the family's 1533-position model. The record is from RNAcentral.